Molecule: long non-coding RNA, 2266 nt
Filed under: Sorghum bicolor (sorghum)
Lineage: Eukaryota; Viridiplantae; Streptophyta; Magnoliopsida; Poales; Poaceae
Description: long non-coding RNA (SBIC_LNC007882)
Source: RNAcentral
AAAUUUUGCGAAGAACCCCUCCCGCAGAGGCAUACCCCAAGUCCCCAACCCGCAAUGCCCUGUCUCAUCUCUCUUUCCCCCGCCGCCGCCGCACCACAGAGCUCGCCGCAUGCGCCUCCCUGCUCAUCUCCGUCGAUAGAGCUCGAGUCCCUACCAUCUCAACGCCAUUGCUAGAUCUCAGGGAGAGAAAGUGCGGAGGAGCACGGGUCCCAUAUACAGAGGAGUGCGCCCAGAUCUACGGAGGCGACGACAUGUGGCCAUGGAGACAAAGCGGUCGCUGCAGCAGUGCUCGCGUGCUCGGAGCGGAAGACCGGAGGCGACGACGCGAACCAGGGUACGACCAGGAAGCUUAUUCUAUACCUUAUUAGGCUUAGCUUCUUUCGCUUCUCCUUUCCUCAAGUUUUGUGUGCCAUGUAAAGGGAGGUCCUCCGCAUAGAUCUCGCGAUGGCUGUUAGAUCCUCGACGAGCACCACCAGAUCCAUGCCUGAGGAUGAGGAGCGGUGCUAUGGUGGCGGAGAGCUACAGUGAGGUUGGGAGCGAGGUGCGCCUGUGCUGGCAAGUAGCACACGGUAGAAGCCUGACUGCACCGCACUGGACAACAUCUACUUCCGCUCCUCUACACCUCCCAAUGGCUCCAUUGUCUGGCUCCACAACCUCUCCACCAAAGCCAUCUCCUUUCUGGUGUGUGAUCUGUGCCCCCAUCAAUCCAUCUCCAAUCAAGAGUAUGCCUACUCUGAAUGAUCAUACUCCACAUGACUAAGAGGCUGCAAAGGAUCACUACAUAGUGAGUUUGUAAGUGGAUCUAUGAUUUUUACCUAUAUGUACCUAAUAAUUAGUUUCUGUUUUGAUUUCCUGCUCUCUUAGGUCAUUACUCAUUAGUGAAGGACACUGCAAGGUCGAAUUGGUGUCUUUGCCCACUGCUCUGAGCUUCCUAGAUUUCGGAUGGCAUUUGUCUGCUGCUGCUAGGAUCGUCUUUUGGUUAUUGCUGCGUUUCUAAAUAAAUCUGCUAUAGAUACAAAUUUUGACUCAGUUUGAUAAUAAGGGGGCUAAGGUUUAAGAUACACUUAUGAGAUUAAUUUCCUUUAUAUAUGGGCUGUUUUAGUAUAUCAUAUUACUAUUUUCAUCAUGGAGAUUCAGAUCCACUUCUCAGAUAAUGUAAUUGUUUUGGUAACCAGGUAACUUCUGAUUUCUAUCAAGAGCCUAUGACCUAUCCAAAAGAAAGGGAUUAAUUUGGACUAUGCUUGAGGUAUAUAUAUAUAUAUGACAAUUCAAUCUACAUAUUUAAUUUUAAGAAAGGGAUUAAUUUGGACUAUGCUUGAGGUAUAUAUGACAAUUCAAUCUACAUAUUUAAUUUUAUUCUGGCACCACAUAGCAAACACAUAGGUAUGCUAAUUUGGAACCAUGUUGUUGUACUCCCGAUCAGUUAAGACUUAAGACUCAGGUGUAGUGCUCCAGUCUGGUUACUGACUCAGGCUGCACAUGCUGAGUUGAGAUAAAUCAUUGUGGAGCAGCACAUGCAGUUGAGAUGGGUUAGGUAUUUUCAAACAAUGGAGAUCUGUGUACCAUACAAUUUGGUGGAUUAUGCUUAACUUGUGCCCUUCUAAUUAAAAAAAAAUUGUGUUCUCAUAGUUUGUAUCUGGUGCACUGAUAUUAGGUUCUAGGUUUUUGUUUUACGUUUUGUUCCUUGUGGCCAUGUGAACGAAUAGUCCAAUACUUUUCCAUUUUCCCUAGAUAUGUCAGAAGUGGUAUCACUUGGGUAAUUCUUUGAUAUUUUCCUCUACUUUUUUGCAUCGUUUGCUUAAUGCAUGGGCCUUGUUGGAGUAGCUUGUAGAAAAGCUAAUUUGCAGACAGCUUGUAAGAUGUCUCUUUUAAGGUUAGCUAUAAGAUUAAAUUUUCUAUAAUAGUCUUGCUCUUGAGUUGGAAAUUUGUGAUCCUAUCCAAGAUACGUGUGGUUGCUGCAUCUGCUCUCAUUCACCGUAGAUUAAGAUUGCUAUACUGAUUUGGUGCAUUCUCUGCAGGUACAUAAAGAUAAGUUCACGGGAAAUGUGUGGAUCCCUGCUUCAUCGCUGUCAAUGACUUCUCGACCCAGCCGGUGUUGAGGGGUUUAUAGGAGUAUAAAUUGAUGUAAAGUGCACCUCGAUCUAAGAGAUAUGUAGACAUGUUUUUUCUUUAAAUCUCACCCCUAUAUUGACCUUUAAGACUGUACAAUGACCUUUUCAAGCGAUGCCUGAUGAAAAUUCUUCAAAGAUAUUUGAUGACAUUUGUG